This is a long non-coding RNA of Pezoporus flaviventris, 2110 nucleotides long. RefSeq lists it as uncharacterized. The transcript is spliced from 2 exons. The record is from RefSeq and is a predicted model, not a curated record. Lineage: Eukaryota; Metazoa; Chordata; Aves; Psittaciformes; Psittacidae.
AUCAAUUACAGCAUUAGUUACCCAUGUUUUCUGUUUCUAAAUACAUCCGGACUUUUGUUUUUAAUUAUUCAUUGAGACAAAGACUUAUUUUUUACCGGAGUUUCUAAAUGUGCUCUUGAGCAUUAUGGAGACAACCUGUGACAGCCAGAGGAAAAACAGGACUGGACAAUGGAGUCUGUGGUGUCAAGGCAGUCAUGUAAAAAAGGAGUGAGCAGUCCUGUCUCCACUCCCACCAGAGUCAUGCUUCCUGUGCUUUCAAAAGUAAACACGUUCAGAGGACACGAGUGGCAGCAAAUAAUGUAAACAGGAAUUCUCAUGGUAAUUGUACCUGUGCUCUGCUAUACUUAGAAGUGGAAGUCAAGUCAGUGUUUGGUGAAGCAAAUCUCCUGCAACCAAGAAGGAAGCAGAAACAUAAUCAACAUUCGGGUCAGUCGGUCUGCAGAGGAAAUCCGAGGUGCAGUUUCACAAUACAUUAAGUCCACAACAAUAUCAGUUCAAAAGUUCCCCUUCUGCCUGACCUUGGCCUUUUGGAAAGGGUUGGGAAGAGGAAAAGGUGUUUUAAAACCAGAUAGUUCAGUAAACUGAUCUGUAGUUUGACCUUAGAAAAACGUCUGCUCAUGCAAUUGGGAAAGUGAUACAGAGAGGAAACAAGUCUGGGCACAGAAUGAUCUCCAUGAUGGAGCCAUGUGGGCAGAGUUUGCUGCCAGAGACAGAAGGGUGUGUGAGUACAUGCCAAGAGUAAAAAAACCCCAAACAUUCAGAUAGCUAUGAGCAUGUUCUUUGAUUUCAGAUAUCUUAUUCAGUGAUAGUUGGUACAGUCAGAGUUCCUGCGCAGCCUCAUUUCUGGUGGGAUGGACUAAUUUCUUCAUGAUGAAACAGCUCUGGUGGCACCUCUGGUUGCUCCUUUCCAAGUGAUGUUGCUGUGCAAGAACCGUCUACCAAGCUUAAGAGUUUCAUGAGUUGGGACUUGUGAAAAGACACAGGGAUUUGCAUGUUAGAAGGUGGUAGCAAUAACCAUGCAGUUCAAGUUUUGCAUAUUAUGGUUAAUACCAAAUAGGACUUUGCCAUGCAGAUUUAUUGUCAGUUGCAUGUUAUUUCUUGCUUGUUUUGUGUUUUUCUUUUUGUUAGACUUACUAGAAAAAGCCCAGUGUUGACAGCCACCCUCUGCAAUAUCUACGGAUGCUUCUUUGCAGGUAAGAAUAAUAACAUUCAACAACACUGACAUCUUGUGGCUGAUGAGAAAUGACUCAGACAUGCCAGAUUAACCACAAAAGUAUCUUCUUCAAUUGUGUAUCCAGCAUCUCUUAAAAUAUGUUGGUGCUUAAAGGGAUGAGUAUCAGAAGUCUGGAAACCAAGAGGUUAAAAGGCAGAAAACACAUAAAGGUGCUAGUUGAUUAGUUGGCUGAGCGGUGUGUGUGGAUAAUCCAGCUGCAUGCUAAUCCUUUUGGCUAAUCUUCUUUGUGUGAGCGAUUCCCUCCAGAGGACAGGGAUAGAGUCUGGGAUGUUUGACAUGACAAACAGAAGCUGUUUCUCCCUGCAGAUGAUCUUCUUUGUGUUUUCCUCCUCUAUUGGGAAGCUGGGAGAGAAAAUACCUUUGGAAAAGACCCCAGGAGGAAUCUGUUUUAUCACCUAUUGUUGCUUCCAGAAAUAAAAUGAGCAAAGCCAGGCUGUGAAUGUCUGCUCCCAACCACUGGAGGUUUUUGGAAAUAGGUGUAGUAGGGAAGACUGUAUGGAAAGAUUUGUAGGAGCAAACCCUGGUUGGCAGGAAAGUUGCAAACUCUUCUACAUGCUUUGGCCAUUGAGGCUUAAACAUAACCUGUAAAAAACGGCUCUACUCUCGAAGUAUGCUUAGGAUAAGGAAAUCUAGUUUGCACUCUUAUAGAUGGUGGAGAGGUCAGAUUUCUUUUUUGGUCUAAAGAUAGAUGUUUGUGACUUUGAACAUGUGACGGUCAGCCUUGGACUUUUCAGAUGCUAGCAGCUUCUUGGAUUGCUUCCUUGUUUGCAUAUGUUUUUGUUGCUAAUGAACAUCUGUAUCCACUUUAUCAUCUGAACCCAGUGACAAAAUGAUUACUGAACAUGAAAUAAAAUGUUAUGCAAUGCUUUUCUGCAA